This 1323-nucleotide ribosomal RNA is filed under the name uncultured bacterium. RNAcentral's name for it is "bacterial SSU rRNA". It matches the Rfam family "Bacterial small subunit ribosomal RNA", at positions 88 to 1399 of the family's 1533-position model. The record is from RNAcentral.
CCGAAUAGUGGCGGACGGGUGAGUAUCGCGUGGGUAACCUGCCCAUAGGUGGGGAAUAACAGUUGGAAACGACUGCUAAUACCGCAUAAGCUGAGCAAUCAGUAAAGGAGGCUAACGCUUCCGCUUAUGGAUGGGCCCGCGUCUGAUUAGCUGGUUGGUGGGGUAAUGGCCUACCAAGGCAACGAUCAGUAGCCGGCCUGAGAGGGUGGACGGCCACACUGGGACUGAGACACGGCCCACACUCCUACGGGAGGCAGCAGUGGGGAAUAUUGCGCAAUGGGGGAAACCCUGACGCAGCGACGCCGCGUGAGCGAAGAAGGCCUUAGGGUCGUAAAGCUCUGUUUUAAGGGACGAAUAUCUUCAGUAGUAACUGACUGAGGAAUGACGGUACCUUAAGAGAAAGCCCCGGCUAACUACGUGCCAGCAGCCGCGGUAAGACGUAGGGGGCGAGCGUUGUCCGGAAUUACUGGGCGUAAAGAGCACGUAGGCGGGAUUUUAAGUCAGGUGUGAAAGACCGUGGCUCAACCACGGGGUUGCACAUGAAACUGGAAUUCUUGAGGGCAGGAGAGGAAAGUGGAAUUCCUGGUGUAGCGGUGAAAUGCGUAGAAAUCAGGAGGAACACCGGUGGCGAAGGCGACUUUCUGGACUGACCCUGACGCUGAGGUGCGAAAGCGUGGGUAGCAAACAGGAUUAGAUACCCUGGUAGUCCACGCCGUAAAACGAUGAGCAACUAGAUGUAGCCGGAAGUUUUUCUGCUGUGCCGCCAGCUAAACGCAAUAAAGUGCUUCCGCCUGGGGGACUACGCACGCAAAGUGUAAAACUCAAAGGGAAUUGACGGGGGGCCCGCACAAGCGGUGGAGUAUGUGGUUUAAUUCGAGGCAACGCGAAAAAACCUUAUCAGGGCUUGACAUGUUGGUGGUAGGAACCGAAAAGGGGACCGACCCGCAAGGGAGCCUUCACAGGUGCUGCAUGCCUGUCGUCAGCUCGUGUCGUGAGAUGUUGGGUUAAGUCCCGCAACGAGCGCAACCCCUACCCUUAGUUGCCAUCAGUUCGGCUGGGAACUCUAGGGGAACUGCCGGUGACAAACCGGAGGAAGGUGGGGAUGACGUCAAGUCCUCAUGGCCCUUACGCCCUGGGCUACACACGUACUACAAUGGCCGGUACAGAGGGCAGCCACCUGGUGACAGGGAGCAAAUCUCCAAAGCCGGUCUCAGUUCGGAUCGAAGUCUGCAACUCGACUUCGUGAAGUUGGAUUCGCUAGUAAUCGUAUAUCAGCAACGAUACGGUGAAUACGUUCCCGGGCCUUGCACACACCGCCCGUCA